AUGUCUCCUCAUUUCCAACCUGAACCUCCCCUGGAGCAACUUGAGGCCAUUCCCUCUAGUCCUAUGGCAUUAUCUGUGAGAAGAGGCCGACCCCAGCUCCCCACACGUUCCUUUCAGGUACUUGUAGGGAGCAACGAAGACUCCCCUCAGCCCCCCUUCCCCAGAAGGGAAGAGGGACGGACAGACGGACGCCACGCGCAUGCGCAGUGCCGCAGCGCGGCUCCCCUCAGCGCCGCCCGCUCCCGGCCGCGCGCGCCAAAGCGGCGGAAGGACCCGCGGGCGUCGCGCACGCGCACUCGGCCUCCCCCGCCGCGGGCUGCCGAGGGGGGGGGAAGCGGCGGCGGGCGCCAUCUUGGCGGAGCCGUGCCGGGAGCUGCGGGCGGCGGGGCUGGGCGCGGAGCCUGUCCUAGCGGCGCGGCCGUUAAGUUGAUUUUACAGAAUUUAUCAGGUCUUCCAAGCACAAACAGUCUUGUGGCUGGGAACUAGGAUAUGCUCUCCUGAGUGCAUGUGGCUGCUGCAAUUAAUACUCUGACUACAUGAAAGAGACAACAGUUUUGAACGCUGAGAAAACGUACGGUAUUGAACAGAACCGAUCACUGGUUAGAGCAACUUGUCAAAGCAGUCAAGUCAUCAGUGUUGGUGAAUUACUUCAUUUCCCAAUGUCGCAAUUAUUCUUUUUCCUUUCUCCUUUUAUCAUCUAGCAUUUUCGGUGUUUAUGUUCCCAAAUGUCC
RNAcentral lists this long non-coding RNA (731 nucleotides) under Anser brachyrhynchus (Pink-footed goose). Its description in RNAcentral is "lncRNA (ENSABRG00000016454.1)". Lineage: Eukaryota; Metazoa; Chordata; Aves; Anseriformes; Anatidae. The record is from RNAcentral.